RNAcentral lists this ribosomal RNA (509 nucleotides) under Ascomycota sp. CJL-2014. RNAcentral describes it as "eukaryotic LSU rRNA". The stretch from base 151 to 304 matches the Rfam family "5.8S ribosomal RNA". The record is from RNAcentral. Lineage: Eukaryota; Fungi; Ascomycota.
AACAGCGGUUAGGAGCUUACACCCACCCGUGUCUACAUACUAUUGUUGCUUUGGCGGGCCGUGGCCUCCACUGCGGGCUCUGCUCGUGUGUGCCCGCCAGAGAACCAAACUCUGAAUGUUAGUGAUGUCUGAGUACUAUCUAAUAGUUAAAACUUUCAACAACGGAUCUCUUGGUUCUGGCAUCGAUGAAGAACGCAGCGAAAUGCGAUAAGUAAUGUGAAUUGCAGAAUUCAGUGAAUCAUCGAAUCUUUGAACGCACAUUGCGCCCUGUGGUAUUCCGCAGGGCAUGCCUGUUCGAGCGUCAUUUAACCACUCACGCCUAGCGUGGUAUUGGGGCACGCGGUCUCCGCGGCCCUCAAAAUCAGUGGCGGCGCCGGUGGGCUCUAAGCGUAGUACAUACUCCCGCUAUAGAGUUCCCCCGGUGGCUCGCCAGAACCCCCAAUUUUUACAGGUUGACCUCGGAUCAGGUAGGGAUACCCGCUGAACUUAAGCAUAUCAAUAAGCGGAGG